UAUAUAAAAGCUACUUAGAUGCCACCAAAGGCUAUAGAAAGCAUUGUCAUGUGGGCACUGACGACCUCACCAAGACGGCGUCACGCUCCGCCACCAUUGGCCAGGCUUCCCAAGCGGGCGUGUCUCCUCUGGCAAUAUAACUCAUUGCUCUUGACCAUGAGGAGCUCCCUGCAGAGCCCAAAACUUAGACAUAGUCCUAAUGUUACAGAACGCACCAACUGUCACUUAAGAACAAACAUUAUGGCAGUUUUAUUCUUUACCAUAUUUGCAAAAGCUACAAAGGUCAACGGUCUUGAAAAAUUAAAGAGACUUUAUUCCAAUCAGUACUUUUUAAGGUCAAAUCUACAUCUGUUGUCAGCCCAACAUCCAAUCACUGUUGGGUAACAGCAGCGUGUUGGCCCCUUCAUCGCAAGGGGGCCUCUCUCCAAUUCCAGUCAAAACUUCAGGGACCCCUCAAAUGCAAUCCCAACACACAUUUUUCUUCUCAAACAUUGUGAAAUCAAAAACCAUUCCAAGUUUGAGCUGCCAAACAGGAUUUGGGAUCUUUCCAUUGCUCGUUCUGCUGAUGUAAACAAAGCGUGUUAAACACAGUUAGGAUGCAAACUGCAGAGCUUUGUCUUUCAUCUGUCGCUUUGAAAAAUCAGCUGAUCACCAACAGAUCCGUCUGUGUGCAUUAAAGAGGACACUCAUACGACCCUUUGUCUUCUGAAUAAAGCACACUGCGUUUAGCAAAUAACAUUUUCGCUUGAAGAGUACCUGUUGCUAUGCAACUUCUGCAUCAGACAGAAACAAAGAGUGAAUGAGCUGAAAGAGAAGAUAUUGAAGGACUCUGGGCCUCCUGAUCAUUUGUCAGGAACUGCUUCAGCCUUAGCUUGUGUUACCUCCCGGGCCUGUGAGCACAAACACUAUGCUGUCGACAGCGAGCAUCUAGUUUCUUUUGUUGAGCUUUUUUCAUACUUUGUUGAGGAACCUCCAAACCUUUCUGACUUGUAUGUCCUUCAUAAAGAUAAAGUUCAUUCCCGGUUUGGACUUGAUUAGAGGCACAGUGUCAGCUUGACUAUAAAAGGCUUUCAUUAAAACACAUUUUUGUUUUUCUUGUUUAUAGCCAUGUUUUUUCAUGCCUUUGCAACAAAACAAAAAAAAAAAAACAGUAAUUGCAAGUUAGAGCUCUCUCCAGGGAGUCAUCAACACUUCUACAAGAUUUACUGUAUCUUGAAAGACAAGAUUUCAAAAAAUCCUGCACUUCCAGUGUUUACUGAGCAGCCCGAGUGCAGAAGUGUGUGUGCUUUUUGGAGGAGGAUGCAUUCAGGGGACUGGGUCCCUUCAAGAGAUGUCUGCCAUGGCGCCAAAGCAGGAAGUGGAAGCCUUGAAACUGAGUGGGGAGGUUGACUAAAACCUCUCCCAAUACUGAAGCUGAACUCAACAAAGUCAGACUUUUGGUGCCAACAGAUGGUCUCAAGCAAAGCCCGGUGGAACCUCUCUGUGGUCCAUGUGCAUGUGGAACCAGGCUUCAGUGGCCUCACAGACUUUUCUCAGAUGGUAUUCCCAAGGUUUAUUCCCACUGGGUUAACUAGUACUCUGCAGGUUAAAGUGAGACCAUAUGAAACCUCUUAUAAACGGAAUGACCGAUGUCUGAGUAAAGACGUCGUGGCAGAGCUGCCGCAUCACUGCCUUAGUAAAAGGAGGUUCAUUUUAUUAUUACAAUUACUAACCCAAUGCUGCUUCAUGUAGACUUGACCAAACAAAAACAAAUACCCUUCUGUCAAGAAUAAACAUUUGUUUAGGGCUUAAUAUGUUGAAUUAAUUGAGAAUUUAGAGUGAAACAGAAUGUAACAACCCAGAAAAACGUUCUACUCAGAGAGGACUUUGCUGAUUGGAUAACUUUAAAUUUGCAAGAAAAUUAUUGGGGCAGGACUGAAGCUUUUCUCUGUUUGUACUCAGACUUCUGCACCAAUCACAAGUUCACACUUGCACUUUAAUCUGGUUUGAAUUUACUCUCAAAUGAUUGACAGAUUACUGUUUGGAAAUUCCUAUAAUCCUGUGGUCCAAAAAGGCUCAAUCUCGCCCAAUCACAGACCCUGGCCAAACUCCGCCCUUGCCCAGCUCAGCCUGAACAGGAAACCAGCUCCAGAUGCAACCCCAGGAGGACGGUGUGUUCAACAAAUGGGAAUCCAAACACGAAGAAGAGACGUGCGCACGCAGGACACCCAGGACCCAACAGCCAUGAAUCUCCCCUACAUGAAACACAUCAAGACAUCACAUUUCCUCUGCUCAUAUCAACAGUUUGCAGUCACUUCUACCAUCUCAACCUCUUCAUAAAACAGACCUGGUCUCAUGGCUUUUAUGCAUUUUACAUCUGUGAGCACAGAUGGUACAGAAAUGUUUUGACGCGUCACGCGACGCGGCUUAUUUUAGAAAAAUCUGCAAGUGCUUUUAUUGUGAAGGACAGAGUAAAAGCAGUGAAAGGUACUGCAGUUUGUAUUCCAUAGCUGUCUAUAGCUCUCAAAAGGUUGUUUUUUUCUGCACUACACAGGUACUUGCUGUAGAAUAGAAAGUCUUUACUGUCAUUAUACAUGGUAUAAUAAUAAAAUAAAGAAACUGUCCCAAA
Molecule: non-coding RNA, 2608 nt
Organism: Oryzias latipes (Japanese medaka)
Lineage: Eukaryota; Metazoa; Chordata; Actinopteri; Beloniformes; Adrianichthyidae
Source: RefSeq, a predicted model, not a curated record